AGUGAACGCUGGCGGUAGGCCUAACACAUGCAAGUCGAACGGCAGCACAGUAAGAGCUUGCUCUUACGGGUGGCGAGUGGCGGACGGGUGAGGAAUACAUCGGAAUCUACUUUUUCGUGGGGGAUAACGUAGGGAAACUUACGCUAAUACCGCAUACGACCUACGGGUGAAAGCAGGGGAUCUUCGGACCUUGCGCGACUGAAUGAGCCGAUGUCGGAUUAGCUAGUUGGCGGGGUAAAGGCCCACCAAGGUGACGAUCCGUAGCUGGUCUGAGAGGAUGAUCAGCCACACUGGAACUGAGACACGGUCCAGACUCCUACGGGAGGCAGCAGUGGGGAAUAUUGGACAAUGGGCGCAAGCCUGAUCCAGCCAUACCGCGUGGGUGAAGAAGGCCUUCGGGUUGUAAAGCCCUUUUGUUGGGAAAGAAAAGCAGCAGGUUAAUACCCCGCUGUUCUGACGGUACCCAAAGAAUAAGCACCGGCUAACUUCGUG
This 492-nucleotide ribosomal RNA is filed under the name uncultured bacterium. Its description in RNAcentral is "partial 16S ribosomal RNA". It matches the Rfam family "Bacterial small subunit ribosomal RNA", at positions 29 to 507 of the family's 1533-position model. The record is from RNAcentral.